This 220-nucleotide microRNA precursor is filed under the name Oryza sativa (Asian cultivated rice). The record is from RNAcentral. Lineage: Eukaryota; Viridiplantae; Streptophyta; Magnoliopsida; Poales; Poaceae.
ACAUAUGUAGUAGAAACUUGGAAACUACCGUUGGAUCGAGAAAUGGACGUCCGAGAUUCGUCCACGUCACCAUGAGUUAAAAUUUAACUCUAACCAAAAUUUUAACUCAUGAGUGAAUCCGUGAGUGAAUCCGCGAGUUAAAUUUUAACUCAUGGUGACGUGGACGAAUCUCGAACGUCUAUUUCUCGAUCCAACGGUAGUUUCCAAGUUUUCACUGCAU